RNAcentral lists this non-coding RNA (169 nucleotides) under Proboscia alata. Lineage: Eukaryota; Bacillariophyta; Melosirophyceae; Probosciales; Probosciaceae. The record is from RNAcentral.
AACGGUCGACGGAAUAAAACACACAACAACACCAGGAAGCAAAGGUGAGUUUUCUAUGUUCGCAAGGUUUUAACCUUUGCAAUAUUCCUUUUUUCUAUUUCUUUAAUUGUACCUCUAUUCAAACAAAAGGAGAAUGAUACACUGCUGCGGCAGUAUCUAUUAAAAGAAU